RNAcentral lists this small nuclear RNA (92 nucleotides) under Vicugna pacos (alpaca). Lineage: Eukaryota; Metazoa; Chordata; Mammalia; Artiodactyla; Camelidae. The record is from RNAcentral.
GUGCUCUUUUCAGCAGCACAUCACUAAAUUGGAAUGAUAGGAAAAUUAGUAUGGCCCCUGCACAGUAAUGACAUGCAAAUGCACAUUUUUUU